CGGCAUUGCUAGGGGUCUGCCGCGAGGCAGUGAGAAACACCCUUCGAACCUGAUGCGGGUCAUGCCGCCGUAGGGAAGCAUGAUUCGAUGCUU
Molecule: non-coding RNA, 93 nt
Filed under: Methylobacillus sp.
Lineage: Bacteria; Pseudomonadati; Pseudomonadota; Betaproteobacteria; Nitrosomonadales; Methylophilaceae
Also listed under: 1 other name
Description: TPP sequence
Rfam family: TPP riboswitch aptamer (THI element)
About the family: Vitamin B(1) in its active form thiamin pyrophosphate (TPP) is an essential coenzyme that is synthesised by coupling of pyrimidine and thiazole moieties in bacteria. The previously detected thiamin-regulatory element, thi box was extended, resulting in a new, highly conserved RNA secondary structure, the THI element, which is widely distributed in eubacteria and also occurs in some archaea. Analysis of operon structures identified a large number of new candidate thiamin-regulated genes, mostly transporters, in various prokaryotic organisms.
Source: RNAcentral